UUUAGGGAAUUAGAAGAGGAAUAUCAAGGGAUUUGGCUGGCAUUGCAAUGCCAGGGAAGAACAUCACAAAGCUGUUUCAGAAAUGAGAUCCAAUAGAAUUGCAUUCGGAUAAGAGGAAAUGUAGAAAGGGUCGAUAUCUUCCAGCGGGACUCCGACCAGUCCUGUAGGAAUGUCACCGAAGAUACGAGGGAGCACCUUCCCCGCCUCCAGGUCGGCCCGGGGCUUGGGCUCCUCCGUGUUUCCGGGGUCCUCCUGGUAAUCUUUGGCAUUCUUCGCCUGUUCUUCGCUGAUCCUCCGCUCGAUGGCCGCCAGAGACUCGCGAGUGAACGGUCGCAAGCCGUCAGGACCCGCUGUGUACCCAUCUUCUGAUAGCUACUUCCAGAAUAAUCAUGCACCAUGUGAAUUCAUCUCAACUGCGUGAUGCUAUCAUGUCACUACAGACCAAAAUCUCUAAGGACGGUUUCCAACACCUUGUUGAAUCUAUGCCAUAAAGAAUUAAGGCAGUUCUGAAGGCAAGAGGGGGUUUAACUUCUGUACAACCAGCACCUAAUAAAGCAGUUGUUGCUAGUACUAAAAAAGUGACUUGUGAGAUCUUGAGAUUUUGUACAUUUAUAGAUAACAACCCUUGGCUUUCCAUUGAACUACUAGCGAUUUCAUUGACUACAGUCGCAUAUUGUAUAAGAAGCGACUAAUGUGAAUAAAAGCUUAUCCAGUACUUGACCUUCUCAACCUCUUGCUACAUCCCUCAAACUAAAUCAGACAUCAGAGUCACAUGGCGUCAGACGUUAUGUUAGCCAAAAUGAUGACUCAUGAAUAAUAUCCACCUCCAGUUAAGGCUCAGGACCUUGAGUGACGCUUGUCUCCAGAUUAGUUUUAAGAAGGAAGGGUCCUAUUCCUUCCGCAGACAUGUUUUUAACUCUUCUCUGCAGAACGGAGCCAGAAACUAUUAUGUAACCGACAGCGUCAAAGUGGCUUACAGCUGUAGAGAAUAACUCAGCUGUCUCGCUUCAGACAAACAUUAAGAAGCAGAGUUUCUUAUAAAUGU
This is a long non-coding RNA of Misgurnus anguillicaudatus (oriental weatherfish), 1045 nucleotides long. RefSeq lists it as uncharacterized. Lineage: Eukaryota; Metazoa; Chordata; Actinopteri; Cypriniformes; Cobitidae. The record is from RefSeq and is a predicted model, not a curated record.